UACAGAGGGGGCAAGCGUUGUUCGGAAUUACUGGGCGUAAAGGGCGCGUAGGCGGCCUGUUAAGUCGAACGUGAAAUCCCCGGGCUCAACCCGGGAACUGCGUCCGAUACUGGCAGGCUUGAAUCCGGGAGAGGGAUGUGGAAUUCCAGGUGUAGCGGUGAAAUGCGUAGAUAUCGGGAGGAACACCAGUGGCGAAGGCGAUCACCUGGGGUUGUUCUGACGCUGAGGAGCGAAAGCGUGGGGAGCGAACAGG
Molecule: ribosomal RNA, 253 nt
Filed under: uncultured bacterium
Lineage: Bacteria
Description: partial 16S ribosomal RNA
Rfam family: Bacterial small subunit ribosomal RNA
Source: RNAcentral